GAGGGGGGAAACAUUCAUGAUCUGUUUUCCGUUUUUUUUUUUCAGAUGACUGUCCAUGAUUUUGAUCAGAGAAACUGUUUUCUUUGCAACACAUCUCAAACACAGAGUAACAGAUGCAGGCAGUCACCGAACACACAGCUAGUGCUGAAACACAUACAUAUAUUAAAGGUGGCAUGCACGAGGAGGACACACAAGAUCGACGACGGCAUCGUCGAUCACCAUAGGCACGUUCAGUUCAGACAACCCCAGCUGAGACACGGCAGGCGACCAUGAAUGACACGACACGACGCUGCAGAUGAUGAUGGAUGGCGCAGUUGGCAAGAUCUUAUUUAGUAGACGCUGCUACUAUAUUAGUAUGCUGCUGGGGGGCGCUUCUCCUUCCUCCUCGCGCUCCAUGGCGCCGCCGCCUCAGUUGCAGCUGCAGCAGGAGCAGCCGCAGCUGGUGCCGCACUUGCAGGUGUUGCAGUCGCAGCCGCCGGCCUCCGCGGCCGCCUCGAACCCGCCGGAGCUCCUGCACCCACACGCAGUCAUGGUUCAGUAACAUAACAACAGCAGCGGCGGCAAUGGAUCGAUCGAGAAGACGAAGCAAAGGAUAGUUCCCCACGCCAGACUUACGCCUUGUUGGUGGCGGCGGCGAUGACCAUGGUGGUGGUGGUGGAGGCGGCCUCCACGUCAGGGAACAUCUUGCAGCUGCAUAUACCCGGAUCAUACAUACACAUUCGUCAGGUACAUGAUCAGUAGAGUUUCAAAAAAAAAGAAGACAGUACAUGAUCACUAUAUCAACAGAUUUCGUCAUGGAAAACAAUGGUUUUCAUCAUGCACGUGUUGUUGUUGUGAGGUUCAAUUAGAUCCCUACCCGCCGCAUCCGCCGCCGCACUUGCAGCCAGCGCCGCACCCGCAGUUGCCGCCGCAGCAAGACAUGCUGAUGAUCACGAGCAGGGAAGCAGGAACUGGUGCUUGAAGAAGGUGUAGUAGUGCUUCUUGUGCUCUGCUUCGCUUGUGAU
Molecule: long non-coding RNA, 1004 nt
Filed under: Setaria italica (foxtail millet)
Lineage: Eukaryota; Viridiplantae; Streptophyta; Magnoliopsida; Poales; Poaceae
Description: long non-coding RNA (SITA_LNC001844)
Source: RNAcentral